Molecule: long non-coding RNA, 1265 nt
Organism: Bos indicus x Bos taurus (hybrid cattle)
Lineage: Eukaryota; Metazoa; Chordata; Mammalia; Artiodactyla; Bovidae
Source: Ensembl
CCCAGUGGGUUCAGGCAGUGUUUCUACACAACGGGUCCAUGGAAGCCCAAUUUGAGAGAUGAUCUGUAAGAACAGAGGCCACGGUUAGAUUUGUUUAGUGAAUGCAGCACAUUCCUCCUCUUUUUACAGACCCACAGCACUAAGGUACUGAGCAGUUGUGCUGCAAAGUCAGCAGUUUAACCACAUUGAAUUAUUUUUGCUUGUUUGUUUGUUUCAGUAAGAUCUGUUUCACAUCCCAAGGAACUAGUGUGUCCACAGGGCACACCCAGAACACAAGAGAGUGCUAGUUAUUUAGGUGUCUGUCUUUCAAGGAGGCAAUCUAUGAUGGUCUGGAACAUGUUUCUUCCUCUGUCAAAAAAGAAAAAGAAAGAAACAAAAAUCUGUAUUUUACAAGAAUUACCGCUUUAAAACAAAAGGACAAAAUUCCAAUGGUGGACGGUUAGGUACCAGUCAGCCACGUGGGAAGGGGAAGGAAUCUGCCAUAAAAGCUCUUUUGCCCUCUGUCCUUGACUGUAGAUGUGGCCUUUUAACAAGUGACUUUUCUGGGCCCCCUGUUCCUGUUUUGUAAACAGUCACAAGGAUCAAACGAGUUACUCGUGACUAGCUCUUAUUGUCGCAAACAUACAAAUUUAGUGAUUUCCUUUUCCACUCACAUGAUAAGCUUGAUAGGCUUAUAACUUAGUAAAAUAGCCCUUUGUGUGACAUAAUUUUGGAACAGAGAACGUUUACAAAGGGAGGAUUCAUCUGAGUCUGGGUUGCUGCUAGGAAGACUUUCUGGAGGAGUGGAAAGGUGAUAGGGUGUGGCCUGGGUAGGGAGGACAGUACCCAAUAAAUAAAUAAAUAAGAAAGGACUGUCCCCGGAAGGGAAGGGUGUCAAGUGAAUACAGGCAUGGAGGUGCCGAUGAAAAGAGCCUGGGCCUUGUUCACUCAGCUGUUGUUCUCAGUCAGAGUCCGCUCCCAGGAAGACUGCUGCUGACCGGAGGCAAGCCGACCACUGGGAGCUGGCAGCUCUGCUCUGUCUGCUGAAAAAGAGAACCAUCUCCAAGUCGUGGAGACCUCAGAAACCCUGGGAAGAGCCUGCUGAGCUGGCUGUUUCUCCCACCAGCCCCGCAGAAGGUCAUGCCCAGGAUACAGAGAAAAAAAUCCCAGGUAAGGAGUAACUCGCACUUUAGGACAAAAUCUAUCUUGAGUGAAAUUUCUUGCUUCUCUGCACACCAACCUGAGAACAAAUAGAUGGACAGCAACUGGCAUCUUCCUGGCACAUU